Molecule: ribosomal RNA, 2881 nt
Organism: Burkholderia multivorans ATCC 17616
Lineage: Bacteria; Pseudomonadati; Pseudomonadota; Betaproteobacteria; Burkholderiales; Burkholderiaceae
Rfam family: Bacterial large subunit ribosomal RNA
Source: Rfam
GGUCAAGCGAACAAGUGCAUGUGGUGGAUGCCUUGGCGAUCACAGGCGAUGAAGGACGCGGUAGCCUGCGAAAAGCCCCGGGGAGCUGGCAAACAAGCUUUGAUCCGGGGAUGUCCGAAUGGGGAAACCCACUCCUUAUGGAGUAUCCAUAGCUGAAUACAUAGGCUAUGUGAAGCGAACGCGGUGAACUGAAACAUCUAAGUAACCGCAGGAAAAGAAAUCAACCGAGAUUCCCAAAGUAGUGGCGAGCGAAAUGGGAUGAGCCUUGUACUCUUUAUUUGUAUUGUUAGCCGAACGCUCUGGAAAGUGCGGCCAUAGCAGGUGAUAGCCCUGUAGGCGAAAACAGUAUGAAAGAACUAGGUGUACGACAAGUAGGGCGGGACACGUGAAAUCCUGUCUGAAGAUGGGGGGACCAUCCUCCAAGGCUAAAUACUCGUGAUCGACCGAUAGUGAACCAGUACCGUGAGGGAAAGGCGAAAAGAACCCCGGGAGGGGAGUGAAAUAGAUCCUGAAACCGCAUGCAUACAAACAGUCGGAGCCUCGUAAGGGGUGACGGCGUACCUUUUGUAUAAUGGGUCAGCGACUUACGUUCAGUAGCAAGCUUAACCGUAUAGGGCAGGCGUAGCGAAAGCGAGUCCGAAUAGGGCGUUCAGUUGCUGGGCGUAGACCCGAAACCAGGUGAUCUAUCCAUGGCCAGGAUGAAGGUGCGGUAACACGUACUGGAGGUCCGAACCCACUAACGUUGAAAAGUUAGGGGAUGAGCUGUGGAUAGGGGUGAAAGGCUAAACAAACCUGGAAAUAGCUGGUUCUCUCCGAAAACUAUUUAGGUAGUGCCUCGUGUCUCACCUUCGGGGGUAGAGCACUGUCAUGGUUGGGGGGUCUAUUGCAGAUUACCCCGCCAUAGCAAACUCCGAAUACCGAAGAGUGCAAUCACGGGAGACAGACAUCGGGUGCUAACGUCCGGUGUCAAGAGGGAAACAACCCAGACCGCCAGCUAAGGUCCCCAAAUAUGGCUAAGUGGGAAACGAAGUGGGAAGGCUAAAACAGUCAGGAGGUUGGCUUAGAAGCAGCCACCCUUUAAAGAAAGCGUAAUAGCUCACUGAUCGAGUCGUCCUGCGCGGAAGAUGUAACGGGGCUAAGCCAUAUACCGAAGCUGCGGAUGCGUGCUUGCACGCAUGGUAGGAGAGCGUUCCGUAAGCCUGCGAAGGUGCCUUGUAAAGGGUGCUGGAGGUAUCGGAAGUGCGAAUGCUGACAUGAGUAGCGAUAAAGGGGGUGAAAGGCCCCCUCGCCGUAAGCCCAAGGUUUCCUACGCAACGUUCAUCGGCGUAGGGUGAGUCGGCCCCUAAGGCGAGGCAGAAAUGCGUAGCUGAUGGGAAGCAGGUCAAUAUUCCUGCACCAUUGUUAGAUGCGAUGGGGGGACGGAUCGCGGAAGGUUGUCCGGGUGUUGGACGUCCCGGUCGCUGCAUUGGAGAAGGCGCUUAGGCAAAUCCGGGCGCAGGAUUCAAGGGUGUGGCGCGAGCGACUUCGGUCGCGAAGCAAUUGGAAGUGGUUCCAAGAAAAGCCUCUAAGCUUCAGUCUAACGAUGACCGUACCGCAAACCGACACAGGUGGGCGAGAUGAGUAUUCUAAGGCGCUUGAGAGAACUCGGGAGAAGGAACUCGGCAAAUUGGUACCGUAACUUCGGGAUAAGGUACGCCCUUGUAGCUUGACUGGCCUGCGCCAGGAGGGUGAAGGGGUUGCAAUAAACUGGUGGCUGCGACUGUUUAAUAAAAACACAGCACUCUGCAAACACGAAAGUGGACGUAUAGGGUGUGACGCCUGCCCGGUGCCGGAAGAUUAAAUGAUGGGGUGCAAGCUCUUGAUUGAAGUCCCGGUAAACGGCGGCCGUAACUAUAACGGUCCUAAGGUAGCGAAAUUCCUUGUCGGGUAAGUUCCGACCUGCACGAAUGGCGUAACGAUGGCCACACUGUCUCCUCCCGAGACUCAGCGAAGUUGAAGUGUUUGUGAUGAUGCAAUCUACCCGCGGCUAGACGGAAAGACCCCAUGAACCUUUACUGUAGCUUUGCAUUGGACUUUGAACCGAUCUGUGUAGGAUAGGUGGGAGGCUAUGAAACCGGAACGCUAGUUUCGGUGGAGCCGUCCUUGAAAUACCACCCUGGUUUGUUUGAGGUUCUAACCUUGGUCCGUGAUCCGGAUCGGGGACAGUGCAUGGUAGGCAGUUUGACUGGGGCGGUCUCCUCCCAAAGGGUAACGGAGGAGUACGAAGGUACGCUAGGUACGGUCGGAAAUCGUGCUGAUAGUGCAAUGGCAUAAGCGUGCUUAACUGCGAGACCGACAAGUCGAGCAGGUGCGAAAGCAGGUCAUAGUGAUCCGGUGGUUCUGUAUGGAAGGGCCAUCGCUCAACGGAUAAAAGGUACUCUGGGGAUAACAGGCUGAUACCGCCCAAGAGUUCAUAUCGACGGCGGUGUUUGGCACCUCGAUGUCGGCUCAUCUCAUCCUGGGGCUGUAGCCGGUCCCAAGGGUAUGGCUGUUCGCCAUUUAAAGAGGUACGUGAGCUGGGUUUAAAACGUCGUGAGACAGUUUGGUCCCUAUCUGCCGUGGGCGUUGGAUAUUUGAAGGGGGCUGCUCCUAGUACGAGAGGACCGGAGUGGACGAACCUCUGGUGUACCGGUUGUGACGCCAGUCGCAUCGCCGGGUAGCUAUGUUCGGAAGAGAUAACCGCUGAAAGCAUCUAAGCGGGAAACUCGCCUUAAGAUGAGAUAUCCCUGGAGGCUUGACCUCCUUGAAGGGUCGUUCGAGACCAGGACGUUGAUAGGUCGGGUGUGUAAGCGCAGUAAUGCGUUCAGCUAACCGAUACUAAUUGCCCGUAAGGCUUGAUCCU